Molecule: ribosomal RNA, 1413 nt
Filed under: Curtobacterium sp.
Lineage: Bacteria; Bacillati; Actinomycetota; Actinomycetes; Micrococcales; Microbacteriaceae
Description: bacterial SSU rRNA
Rfam family: Bacterial small subunit ribosomal RNA
Source: RNAcentral
GACGAACGCUGGCGGCGUGCUUAACACAUGCAAGUCGAACGAUGAUCAGGAGCUUGCUUCUGUGAUUAGUGGCGAACGGGUGAGUAACACGUGAGUAACCUGCCCCUGACUCUGGGAUAAGCGUUGGAAACGACGUCUAAUACUGGAUAUGACUUCCGGCCGCAUGGUCUGGUUGUGGAAAGAUUUUUUGGUUGGGGAUGGACUCGCGGCCUAUCAGCUUGUUGGUGAGGUAAUGGCUCACCAAGGCGACGACGGGUAGCCGGCCUGAGAGGGUGACCGGCCACACCUGGGACUGAGACACGGCCCAGACUCCUACGGGAGGCAGCAGUGGGGAAUAUUGCACAAUGGGCGAAAGCCUGAUGCAGCAACGCCGCGUGAGGGAUGACGGCCUUCGGGUUGUAAACCUCUUUUAGUAGGGAAGAAGCGAAAGUGACGGUACCUGCAGAAAAAGCACCGGCUAACUACGUGCCAGCAGCCGCGGUAAUACGUAGGGUGCAAGCGUUGUCCGGAAUUAUUGGGCGUAAAGAGCUCGUAGGCGGUUUGUCGCGUCUGCUGUGAAAUCCCGAGGCUCAACCUCGGGCUUGCAGUGGGUACGGGCAGACUAGAGUGCGGUAGGGGAGAUUGGAAUUCCUGGUGUAGCGGUGGAAUGCGCAGAUAUCAGGAGGAACACCGAUGGCGAAGGCAGAUCUCUGGGCCGUAACUGACGCUGAGGAGCGAAAGCAUGGGGAGCGAACAGGAUUAGAUACCCUGGUAGUCCAUGCCGUAAACGUUGGGCGCUAGAUGUAGGGACCUUUCCACGGUUUCUGUGUCGUAGCUAACGCAUUAAGCGCCCCGCCUGGGGAGUACGGCCGCAAGGCUAAAACUCAAAGGAAUUGACGGGGGCCCGCACAAGCGGCGGAGCAUGCGGAUUAAUUCGAUGCAACGCGAAGAACCUUACCAAGGCUUGACAUACACCGGAAACGGCCAGAGAUGGUCGCCCCCUUGUGGUCGGUGUACAGGUGGUGCAUGGUUGUCGUCAGCUCGUGUCGUGAGAUGUUGGGUUAAGUCCCGCAACGAGCGCAACCCUCGUUCUAUGUUGCCAGCGGGUUAUGCCGGGGACUCAUAGGAGACUGCCGGGGUCAACUCGGAGGAAGGUGGGGAUGACGUCAAAUCAUCAUGCCCCUUAUGUCUUGGGCUUCACGCAUGCUACAAUGGCCGGUACAAAGGGCUGCGAUACCGUAAGGUGGAGCGAAUCCCAAAAAGCCGGUCUCAGUUCGGAUUGAGGUCUGCAACUCGACCUCAUGAAGUCGGAGUCGCUAGUAAUCGCAGAUCAGCAACGCUGCGGUGAAUACGUUCCCGGGCCUUGUACACACCGCCCGUCAAGUCAUGAAAGUCGGUAACACCCGAAGCCGGUGGCCUAACCCUUGUGGAAGA